CUCUGUGACUCCUACGGGAGGCAGCAGUGGGGAAUAUUGCACAAUGGGGGAAACCCUGAUGCAGCCAUGCCGCGUGUGUGAAGAAGGCCUUCGGGUUGUAAAGCACUUUCAGUAGGGAGGAAGGUAGUGUAGUUAACACCUGCACUAUUUGACGUUACCUACAGAAGAAGCACCGGCUAACUCCGUGCCAGCAGCCGCGGUAAUACGGAGGGUGCGAGCGUUAAUCGGAAUUACUGGGCGUAAAGCGCAUGCAGGCGGCCUGUUAAGUCAGAUGUGAAAGCCCGGGGCUUAACCUCGGAAUUGCAUUUGAAAACUGGCAGGCUAGAGUCUUGUAGAGGGGGUAGAAUUUCAGGUGUAGCGGUGAAAUGCGUAGAGAUCUGAAGGAAUACCAGUGGCGAAGGCGGCCCCCUGGACAAAGACUGACGCUCAGAUGCGAAAGCGUGGGGAGCAAACAGGAUUAGAUACCCUGGUAG
Molecule: ribosomal RNA, 473 nt
Filed under: uncultured bacterium
Lineage: Bacteria
Description: bacterial SSU rRNA
Rfam family: Bacterial small subunit ribosomal RNA
Source: RNAcentral